RNAcentral lists this ribosomal RNA (474 nucleotides) under Oenococcus oeni. RNAcentral describes it as "bacterial LSU rRNA". It matches the Rfam family "Bacterial large subunit ribosomal RNA", at positions 1 to 477 of the family's 2925-position model. The record is from RNAcentral. Lineage: Bacteria; Bacillati; Bacillota; Bacilli; Lactobacillales; Lactobacillaceae.
AUAGGUUAAGUUAAUAAGGGCGCAUGGUGGAUGCCUUGGCACUAGAAGGCGAUGAAGGACGUGACUAACUACGAUAUGCCUCGGUUAGCUGUAAGUAAGCUUACCCGGGGGUUUCCGAAUGGGGCAACCCGAUCUUAAUGAUCAUCAUCUUUUUGAAUUCAUAGAUUAGAUGAAGCAAACGCUGUGAACUGAAACAUCUAAGUAGCAGUAGGAAAGUAAAGAAAUUUCGAUUCCGUCAGUAGCGGCGAGCGAACGCGGAAGAGCCCAAACCUGGAUGCUUGCAUCCAGGGGUUGUAGGACUGAUGUUGAGUUACAAAGGUAUAAGAUAGCAGAAACAGUUGGGAAGCUGUUCCAAAGAGGGUGACAGGCCCGUAUGCGAAAUCUUGUACUCUCUAAUCAGGAUCCUGAGUACGGCACAGCACGUGAAAUUGGGUCGGAAUCUGGGAGGACCAUCUCCCAAGGCUAAAUACUAAC